GACGAACGCUGGCGGCGUGCUUAACACAUGCAAGUCGAACGGAAAGGCCUCUUUCGGGGGGUACUCGAGUGGCGAACGGGUGAGUAACACGUGAGUAACCUGCCCUUUACUUUGGGAUAACUUCAGGAAACUGGGGCUAAUACCGGAUAGGAGCUCCUGCUGCAUGGUGGGGGUUGGAAAGUUUCGGCGGUUGGGGGUGGACUCGCGGCUUAUCAGCUUGUUGGUGGGGUAGUGGCUUACCAAGGCGUUGACGGGUAGCCGGCCUGAGAGGGUGACCGACCACAUUGGGACUGAGAUAAGGCCCAGACUCCUAAGGGAGGCAGCAGGGGGGAAUAUUGCAAAAUGGGUGGAAGCCUGAUGCAGCAACGCCGUGUGCGGGAUGACGGCCUUCGGGUUGUAAAACGCUUUCGCUCAUGACGAAGCUUUGUGUGACGGUAGUGGGUAAAGAAGCACCGGCUAACUACGUG
RNAcentral lists this ribosomal RNA (467 nucleotides) under uncultured bacterium. Its description in RNAcentral is "partial 16S ribosomal RNA". It matches the Rfam family "Bacterial small subunit ribosomal RNA", at positions 28 to 507 of the family's 1533-position model. The record is from RNAcentral.